UGGGGCCGCUGUCGCGUCGCGUGCGUCUGCCAUGCCCAGGCUGCUCGCUCGCUUCGCCCACUCGCUGUCAUCCCCUUUCCGCACUGCUGCUCGCUCUCUUCGUCGUCUCGCUUCGUCCCGUUCGAACGCCUGCACCAUUGCCAUCCGUUCCUCCAUGGGUGCUGUUGGUUGAGUUUGCUUGGUUUUCACGUUGGCUCCUUCGUAGGAGCGUGGGUCAUUCCGUCCUUGCUGUCCAGGUUGUUCCAUCUUUUACUGAUCUCGUGUAGAAUCUCCGUUUAGCUCAUUACCGCGUCUCCAUUCUGCUCGUCGGGCCUUGUCAAGGUUUGCUGCUGUGUGAUCUCUGCCUGUCUUGCUGCUCUACUUUCUGUAUGUACUUUCAUGUUCUAUAGCCUCCUAAUUGUUUCAAUGUAUGUUCCAGACAUGGACGGGUGUCAUCUACUUUAUUAUAUAUUUCGUUCUUACAUGUGAGCAGGAUGUGUGCAUUUGUUUCGGUUGUUAUUCCUAUUUUGGAGGUUGUGGUGGCCGAAUGCGCUUUGCCACCCCUUUUGUACCUGUGUGAGGUCGCAGAAGAUGGCUAGCUCUGUCCUCGCUGAGGUAGAGCUUGAGCUUUCCCGGGGAUGGUUCUGGUCGAGUGCCUCGGCGGGAGUUUUUUGGGGCUCGGCUUGCUGUGGGUUCAUGAAUGCUUAUGAACAAGUUGAUUUACAAGCCAUAUGGUUUUUUACCAGGUCUAUAUGGAUUCGUCGUCCAUGACUAUAACUAAGGCUGUAUGAUGGCCUAUAGGAGAUCUGCACGUUGAUCCAUAGUUAUUGCGGUCUCUGCUGUUCGACACGUUAUGCACCUGGAGAGAGAGAGAGUUACUUCAUUUGUGGUCUGCACCUACCAAUAUGCCCAUUGUUUUGUUUGCUGUCUCAAUUGUCGCUGAACAAACAAAAGCAAUUGCUGGUACUAACCUUUAGUUUGUGAAUAUACACAAAUUUCCUUUAAAUUGUUUGUAUCAUUGUGUUUAUAUUCUCUUGAAUUCUCUUAGCAUUGAUCUUGAUGGUUUCGGUGAAUGGUCUAAGUAUUGGGGGUUUAAUUUCCUGGCAAGGAAGUUUAUGCUUGCAAAAGCUAUCUACAUCCGUUCAUUCAGCAACUUUUAUCUUCAUUGACAAACUAGAAGUAACUUCCAUUAUGAGCUAUUUGGCAUUGCUAUUUUCGUUUGAACAGUUCCGUCGCAAAUUUCUCUCAUCUAUUGUUGAUUAUUAGAUAAAUCCAUAUGUUUUGCUUCCUAUUCCUGUUUUCAGCAACCAUUGCAGACUUUGUAUAGAAUAUCUUGUCACCUGAAAGGUGUAGGAUGAGAGGAUUGUUUUAUUUGCAAACAAGAUCAAGGACUGGGUCAACGUGGUCGUCGCGCACGAACCAGUGUGGGCCAUUGACACCGGUAAAGUUGCAUCACCGGCUCAAGCACAUGAAGUAAGUUCCUCCGUUCAGGUGUAUUGGUGUUUCUGAAGUAGCAGGCACAAUUCAUCUCGUGACCGCUGGCCGUUGUCUUUCCUUUUCCUGAAAUUUAUGACCAAGUGAUUAAAGCCUGAAACUAAAGCUUGGUCUUUCUCAAAAUUUACCAUGGUGUAAUUUUAUGCUACAGUCAAGCCUUGAAAAUAAACGUGUUAUA
Long non-coding RNA from Triticum aestivum (bread wheat), 1651 nucleotides. RefSeq lists it as uncharacterized. The record is from RefSeq and is a predicted model, not a curated record. The transcript is spliced from 3 exons. NCBI's taxonomy places the organism in Eukaryota, Viridiplantae, Streptophyta, Magnoliopsida, Poales, Poaceae.